Molecule: non-coding RNA, 80 nt
Organism: Termitomyces sp. Mn162
Lineage: Eukaryota; Fungi; Basidiomycota; Agaricomycetes; Agaricales; Lyophyllaceae
Source: the annotation of a GenBank genome assembly
UCCCUCUUAGCUCAGUUGGUAGAGCGCGUCACUAGUAAUAGUAUAUGACGAGGUCAGUCGUUCAAGUCGGCUAGAGGGAA